RNAcentral lists this ribosomal RNA (445 nucleotides) under uncultured bacterium. RNAcentral's name for it is "partial 16S ribosomal RNA". It matches the Rfam family "Bacterial small subunit ribosomal RNA", at positions 354 to 796 of the family's 1533-position model. The record is from RNAcentral.
GUAGGGAAUAUUGGGCAAUGGAGGCAACUCUGACCCAGCCAUGCCGCGUGCAGGAUGACGGCCCUCUGGGUUGUAAACUGCUUUUAUACGGGAAGAAAAAAUACUACGUGUAGUAUACUGACGGUACCGUAAGAAUAAGGAUCGGCUAACUCCGUGCCAGCAGCCGCGGUAAUACGGAGGAUCCAAGCGUUGUCCGGAUUUAUUGGGUUUAAAGGGUGCGUAGGCGGAUCUUUAAGUCAGUGGUGAAAGCCUGCAGCUUAACUGUAGAAUUGCCAUUGAAACUGAAGAUCUUGAAUGUGGUUAAAGUAGGCGGAAUGUAUCAUGUAGCGGUGAAAUGCUUAGAUAUGAUACAGAACACCGAUAGCGAAGGCGGCUUGCUGAACCAUUAUUGACGCUGAGGCACGAAAGCGUGGGGAGCGAACAGGAUUAGAAACCCGAGUAGUCC